RNAcentral lists this ribosomal RNA (469 nucleotides) under uncultured bacterium. Its description in RNAcentral is "partial 16S ribosomal RNA". It matches the Rfam family "Bacterial small subunit ribosomal RNA", at positions 28 to 507 of the family's 1533-position model. The record is from RNAcentral.
GAUGAACGCUGGCGGCGUGCUUAACACAUGCAAGUCGAACGGUGAACACGGAGCUUGCUCUGUGGGAUCAGUGGCGAACGGGUGAGUAACACGUGAGCAACCUGCCCCUGACUCUGGGAUAAGCGCUGGAAACGGCGUCUAAUACUGGAUAUGUGACGUGACCGCAUGGUCUGCGUUUGGAAAGAUUUUUCGGUUGGGGAUGGGCUCGCGGCCUAUCAGCUUGUUGGUGAGGUAAUGGCUCACCAAGGCGUCGACGGGUAGCCGGCCUGAGAGGGUGACCGGCCACACUGGGACUGAGACACGGCCCAGACUCCUACGGGAGGCAGCAGUGGGGAAUAUUGCACAAUGGGCGCAAGCCUGAUGCAGCAACGCCGCGUGAGGGAUGACGGCCUUCGAGUUGUAAACCUCUUUUAGCAGGGAAGAAGCGAAAGUGACGGUACCUGCAGAAAAAGCGCCGGCUAACUACGUG